RNAcentral lists this ribosomal RNA (468 nucleotides) under uncultured bacterium. RNAcentral describes it as "partial 16S ribosomal RNA". It matches the Rfam family "Bacterial small subunit ribosomal RNA", at positions 28 to 507 of the family's 1533-position model. The record is from RNAcentral.
GACGAACGCUGGCGGCGUGCUUAACACAUGCAAGUCGAACGGAAAGGCCCUGCUUUUGUGGGGUGCUCGAGUGGCGAACGGGUGAGUAACACGUGAGUAACCUGCCCUUGACUUUGGGAUAACUUCAGGAAACUGGGGCUAAUACCGGAUAGGAGCUCCUGCUGCAUGGUGGGGGUUGGAAAGUUUCGGCGGUUGGGGAUGGACUCGCGGCUUAUCAGCUUGUUGGUGGGGUAGUGGCUUACCAAGGCUUUGACGGGUAGCCGGCCUGAGAGGGUGACCGGCCACAUUGGGACUGAGAUACGGCCCAGACGCCUACGGGAGACAGCAGUGGGGAAUAUUGCACAAUGGGCGGAAGCCUGAUGCAGCAACGCCGCGUGCGGGAUGACGGCCUUCGGGUUGUAAACCGCUUUCGCCUGUGACGAAGCGUGAGUGACGGUAAUGGGUAAAGAAGCACCGGCUAACUACGUG